This 372-nucleotide ribosomal RNA is filed under the name uncultured organism. RNAcentral describes it as "bacterial SSU rRNA". It matches the Rfam family "Bacterial small subunit ribosomal RNA", at positions 526 to 896 of the family's 1533-position model. The record is from RNAcentral.
CGUAGGGGGCAAGCGUUGUCCGGAAUUAUUGGGCGUAAAGAGCGCGCAGGCGGGUCUGUCAGUCUACCGUGAAAGCUUACGGCUCAACCGUAACGGGUCGGUGGAUACUGCAGAUCUUGAGGGCAGGAGAGGAAAGUGGAAUUCCCAGUGUAGCGGUGAAAUGCGUAGAUAUUGGGAGGAACACCAGUGGCGAAGGCGACUUUCUGGACUGUUACUGACGCUGAGGCGCGAAAGCUGGGGGAGUGAACGGGAUUAGAUACCCCGGUAAUCCCAGCCGUAAACGAUGGGUACUAGGUGUAGGAGGUAUCGACCCCUUCUGUGCCGGAGUUAACGCAAUAAGUACCCCGCCUGGGGAGUACGGUCGCAAGGCUG